AUUAAAUAUAAAGUCCAAAUCUAGCAUUUUAUCGAUUUAGUCCCUUACAAAUAUACCUUUCUAUGCUUCUUUCCUGGAGUAAAAAUAUAGAAUUUUUUAUAUGAAUCCUGAAGGGACAGUACGUUCCUUCCGAAUGUGAAGGAGGUGAAAAGGGAAGGUCUCAGCAGCGUCAGUGUGAAAGCAUGCUGAGGAUCAGCACAGGGGAAUUUGCAGAUCUGUAGUGAACUUUCAAAUCAAUUCUAUGCAUUAGUUAUUAUCAGCGGCUUUGAUAGACACCAGACUUCACCAGACGUCUGCUCAUUACGGGGACAUGAUACUGUCUGACCAAAUCUACAGAGAGACAGAAAACGAGAGCAGUUGUCUCACAGAUCACCUCAGCUGUGGGGCCGUCCCUGGGGCUCGUUUGACAUGCACACUUUUUACGGCCCCUAAGAAUGAUUCUAGCAGACGAGGCUUUGUGCUGGAUGGAAUCUACCCACCUCCAGUAAGUCCAUGUAUCUUCUUUUAUUGGAGUAUGAAGGAAAAUGACAAUGAAAUUUUAUUCCGGCAGAAUUUCAGACGGACAGUUCGAGCUCCCGCGGGGUGGGCGAAAUGCGGCCCAUAUGCGAGCGGCAUGGGCAAACCAAUCCGGAAAAACGGCAAAGGACGAAUCAAAGGAGGAGGGAGCUGUUCCAUUUCUCUGUUUCUUCUGCCAUUGGGAGCUGUUACUCUUGCAUACAGAGUUGGGGAGGGACGCCGUUUCCCCAACGCCACCCUCAAACUCAGCAGUGGAGAUGAAUAA
Cyprinus carpio (common carp) is the source of this 781-nucleotide long non-coding RNA. The record is from Ensembl. Lineage: Eukaryota; Metazoa; Chordata; Actinopteri; Cypriniformes; Cyprinidae.